CAAAUAGAAAUCCAUACCGUGCUGCCGCGCGCGCUUGCAAACUCGAAGAAUCUGUAAACAUGGCGGAAAAAUAUAGCUAAAUUAUAGCUAAAACGAUACGUUUAAAGAAAAUUUACAACUCGUAGGCAUUUUGUACUCACGUUUUACUCUUCGUGUUGGUGUUGAACCGCCGAUUGACAAUUUUUGAGAAGUCUAAUCUUCAAAAUCUCGCGAAAUCUAUGUUCGAUGCCGCCGAAGACUUCAACAAUUUGCUGUAUUCUGUCUCGGGGGUCUAAAGACUCAUUCUUUCUGGCAUGAUCUCGAAGAUUUAAAAUAGCUAGCUGGGC
This is a non-coding RNA of Paramuricea clavata, 326 nucleotides long. The record is from the annotation of a GenBank genome assembly. Lineage: Eukaryota; Metazoa; Cnidaria; Anthozoa; Malacalcyonacea; Plexauridae.